AUAUUGGUCAAUGGAGGCAACUCUGAGCCAGCCAUGCCGCGUGCAGGAUGACGGUCCUCUGGAUUGUAAACUGCUUUUGUACGGGAACAAACUCUUCUACGUGUAGGGGGAUGUUUGUACCGUAAGAAUAAGUAUCGGCUACCUCCGUGUCAGCAGCCGCGGUAAUACGGAGGAUCCAGGCGUUAUCCGGAUUUAUUGGGUUUAAAGGGUGCGUAGGCGGCCCGUUAAGUCAGGGGUGAAAGACGGCAGCUCAACUGUCGCAGUGCCUUUGAUACUGACGGGCUUGAAUGCGGAAGAGGUAGGCGGAAUGAGACAAGUAGCGGUGAAAUGCAUAGAUAUGUCUCAGAACUCCGAUUGCGAAGGCAGCUUACUAAGACGUGAUUGACGCUGAUGCACGAAAGCGUGGGGAUCAAACAG
This 417-nucleotide ribosomal RNA is filed under the name uncultured bacterium. Its description in RNAcentral is "partial 16S ribosomal RNA". It matches the Rfam family "Bacterial small subunit ribosomal RNA", at positions 361 to 775 of the family's 1533-position model. The record is from RNAcentral.